GCUCAGUGCAGCAAACGUGGUUGUCUGUAGAUAAAUGCGGUUCAAAAAAAAAUCAUGUCAAUUUGUAAUUAUUUCAUUGCUCAACACUGAAGUCAAUGUAUGGGAAUUCUCAAGGAAGAGUGCGAUGUGGAGGAUAUGACUUGGCUCUACCAUGGCAAGGGGUAAGAGGAAAGAAAAUUCCUCGUUUAUAAAACUAGAGAUACUUACUUUGGAAAUGCAGGAGUCUUGCUCCAACGCAAAUUAUUCCCUGAGCUCUGCCCUGGCCACGACUCCCAUUCACUUCAGCGGGAGCUUUGUGCGUUGCAGCACUGCAUGAGCGGCCGAUUUGACCCCUCAGCUCUGGCUAAACUCCAAUUCCUGUAAGAAGGUCCCUCAUGGCAGCAUUUUCUAACGGGGAAGUUUUGGUGGGGUGUCUGGAGAAGAUGCACGCUUGUGCGUGGAACUGAAGCGCACGGCCCCAACCCUGCGAUACACGGGUGGGUGUGCAGGGGGGGCCCAGCUCUCCGCAGAGCGUGGAUGCUCCCUCACCUGCACGCUCGCCUGUGUUGUGGACCUGCCGCACUGAGCGGUGGGGAUGGGCUGAGAGUGUCCAACUCCGGGGUCAGCGUGGGGGUGGAUAGCUGAGCUGAAACGUCCUGGCUGAAGUGCCAUUCAACCGCGAUCUCGGUGCAGUUCUGGGGUAUAACUCGUAGGGAUAGUGUUUCAACUGCACACUUUUCUCCCUCAUAUGUAUGUAUGUAUUUAUUUAUUUAUUUUAAUUAAAGGACAAACAGACCGUCUCCACCGUAAGCUCAAUGGAUAUAGCGUACCCCUUGCCACCCCCCCCGGCUCCAGCCUUCAAUCCCCCUUCACACGGGUCUAGCGGCUCUGUACUCUCAGGCUCUUUCAAGGGGUUAAGCUGCUAAAAUGUACUGACAGCUUAAGAAAUGAAUGAGGGUUUUUUCAGCCAUGAAGAAAGGGUAUUUAAUAACCACGCUUCGAUGGCAUCAUGCUUCCAUGAAACGAGUCGGGACACUUUGGUUUAACAAUCAGUAAUAUCACAUUCGGUACAGCAAAUGCCUGGAUGUACGCAUAUAUAAUUCUGUUCCCCCUUGACUCUAAGCUUGCCUUAUUUAUUCCAGGUUACCUGGGCAAUUAAGGUAAGGGCUGCUCAGCAGACACUGAUAGCCUGCUGCUAAGGCAUGGCGAAUGGGGACGGAUCGGUGCGCUAACAAAGAGAAAGAGGUAGUCAAACAUUUUGAAGAGGGGUGAAUGGGACUGAAGGUGGAUGGAUGAAUAGAGGCAAAGAGGGAGAGGAAGAAGUAUUCAACGGUCCACCCUUCUAUCCGCAUUUGUAGAUUUAAGUUUAGGUGUCCGUCUCUAGCCAACUUCCAGUUAAUCCUCAACAGCUGGUAGUGGUGCUAACGUUUAGUGAUUAGAAGUUAGUCUAUUUAGCAUGCUGUAUCCUUCUUCCAUGGGUUUUGGUUACAGGUUAUACGAUUAGGAUUGCGAGAACAGUAGUGAACUAAACUUCCCAGUAAGAGGUCUUCACACCAGGGAAGUGUUACUUUGCUGCAGCAGCCCUGCCUCGUCAGUCAUUAGGAAGCUGCAGGUUGUCAGAGGCUUCUCUUGCGCGCACACACGCGCAGACACACACACGCACACACACAAAACCACAGCACUAAAACUAAAUUAAGAAGCCGAUGAUUAAGACAAGCGUCUACGAGGCCUGUCAUUUCAGCAUCCUUCCAUCAUAACAUUGUGGCACCGAGAAAUUUGCUUGAAAACCCCGGAAAAAAUGUCUAUGGGAGAGCCUCCUGUUUGAGAUAGCAUAAAUGUUAACUUCAAAUAUAGACUGGGAACUGCCUCGGAUGCAAGAUAGUAUUCCGCAGAGGAAAGGAGCACUGCAGAGACCUUUGGGCUACCCGUGCACUCCCGAAACUCUGGAUUGACUUGAUCGUCCCUGAAAACGCAGAACAGCCCAUGAGAUCUCUCCCUUCAAACCAAGCGUGUGGAAGAUGCUUGCAAAAGAGCCCUGAAAACAAAACAACUUGACUGAAGGCAGCUUGUGCAACAAUUGUGUCGUGGAAUACCUAACAUUUCUUUAUCUUUAACUUAUUUCCUUUUGGAUAAUGUCAAUAAAUAUCAGCUAUGCCAA
This is a long non-coding RNA of Aquila chrysaetos chrysaetos, 2137 nucleotides long. RefSeq lists it as uncharacterized. The transcript has 4 exons. NCBI's taxonomy places the organism in Eukaryota, Metazoa, Chordata, Aves, Accipitriformes, Accipitridae. The record is from RefSeq and is a predicted model, not a curated record.